CCUACGGGCGGCAGCAGUGGGGAAUAUUGGGCAAUGGGCGCAAGCCUGACCCAGCAACGCCGCGUGAAGGAAGAAGGCUUUCGGGUUGUUAACUUCUUUUGACAGGGAAGAGUAGAAGACGGUACCUGUCGACUAAGCCACGGCUAACUACGUGCCAGCAGCCGCGGUCAUACGUAGGUGGCAAGCUGUGUCCGGAUUUACUGGGUGUAAAGGGCGUGUAGCCGGGUUGACAAGUCAAAUGUGAAAUCCUGCGGCUUAACCGCAGAACUGCGUGUGAAACUGUUGGUCUUGAGUACUGGAGAGGCAGACGGAAUGCGUGGUGUAGCGGUGAAAUGCGUAGAUAUUAGGAGGAACACCAGUGGCGAAGGCGGUCUGCUGGACAGCAACUGACGGUGAGGCGCGAAAGCGUGGGUAGCAAACAGGAUUAGAUACCCGGGUAGUC
Molecule: ribosomal RNA, 442 nt
Filed under: uncultured bacterium
Lineage: Bacteria
Description: partial 16S ribosomal RNA
Rfam family: Bacterial small subunit ribosomal RNA
Source: RNAcentral